Molecule: transfer RNA, 52 nt
Filed under: Gekko bannaense
Lineage: Eukaryota; Metazoa; Chordata; Lepidosauria; Squamata; Gekkonidae
Description: tRNA-Tyr
Source: RNAcentral
GAGAGAGAGAGGCGGUGAGCUGUAGUCUCACUUACGGAGGUGUGAUUCCACC